Molecule: ribosomal RNA, 484 nt
Filed under: uncultured bacterium
Lineage: Bacteria
Description: partial 16S ribosomal RNA
Rfam family: Bacterial small subunit ribosomal RNA
Source: RNAcentral
AUUGAACGCUGGCGGCAGGCCUAACACAUGCAAGUCGAGCGGAUGAAGGGAGCUUGCUCCUGGAUUCAGCGGCGGACGGGUGAGUAAUGCCUAGGAAUCUGCCUGGUAGUGGGGGAUAACGUCCGGAAACGGGCGCUAAUACCGCAUACGUCCUGAGGGAGAAAGUGGGGGAUCUUCGGACCUCACGCUAUCAGAUGAGCCUAGGUCGGAUUAGCUAGUUGGUGGGGUAAAGGCCUACCAAGGCGACGAUCCGUAACUGGUCUGAGAGGAUGAUCAGUCACACUGGAACUGAGACACGGUCCAGACUCCUACGGGAGGCAGCAGUGGGGAAUAUUGGACAAUGGGCGAAAGCCUGAUCCAGCCAUGCCGCGUGUGUGAAGAAGGUCUUCGGAUUGUAAAGAACUUUAAGUUGGGAGGAAGGGCAGUAAGUUAAUACCUUGCUGUUUUGACGUUACCAACAGAAUAAGCACCGGCUAACUUCGUG